RNAcentral lists this long non-coding RNA (703 nucleotides) under Crocodylus porosus (Australian saltwater crocodile). RNAcentral's name for it is "lncRNA (ENSCPRG00005004431.1)". The record is from RNAcentral. Lineage: Eukaryota; Metazoa; Chordata; Crocodylia; Crocodylidae.
CAGAGAGGGACAGAAGGGGCAACAGUAACAUAAGACGGUUGCACAUCUCGUGUUAUCAGUUAGUGUCCAGAUUGAUCCCCAUGUGUCCCUGUAGGGGUCAUGGAGUUCCAUCUUGGGCCUCUGGUGCGACUGCUGGGUUUCUGAGCGCCAGGUUAAUGGAAACUGGAUUGAGAUAAUCAUGCAGGACUUAAAGAAAAGCUAUCACCUGUCCCUAACUUUCAGUGGCUACUGACCCAUGCACAAAUAGUAGUUUGAAAAAAGAAGGAACGAAAAUUGAAAACUACUUGGAACAGAGCUAUUCAGGCGGUAACUCUGCUCUGGGGGCACUUGGAGAAAUCCCAAGGACACUGUAGCACGAGUGACUACAUUUUCACUCUGCAAUUGCUCUGGAUACUUGGAAGGAAUUUCAGAGGCAAGCAAUUCCAUUUGGAGUCUACUGUCACUUGAUGCCAACCUGGAUGCACAUUUGUGUCCAGAUAUGGGAGAAACUGAUUCCAAACUGCACACUACUGGAUUCCAGCUUUUUUUGUUCUUUCGAGUGGUUUUGCCUUCUAAGUCCAACGUGAUCUACAUCAAAAGAAGGAUGACAAGGCUGGAUAUCCCUGUGGUUUUUAAUGUAAAGAAAAGCAAAGCAAACUGCUUCCACUAUAGUUUUUGAUAAAACCUUCCUGGCCUUGUGUAUCCACCAUAAAAUAAAAUAAAA